This is a long non-coding RNA of Canis lupus familiaris (dog), 3348 nucleotides long. RefSeq lists it as uncharacterized. NCBI's taxonomy places the organism in Eukaryota, Metazoa, Chordata, Mammalia, Carnivora, Canidae. The record is from RefSeq and is a predicted model, not a curated record. The transcript has 4 exons.
UAGGAACUCCGCCCCUGCUGAACACAUCUGGGCUGGGCUAGUCCUUGACCCACUGGCCCUCGGCUCUGAAUCCUUCAGCAUCUAAACCUGCCAUAGUCCACAGGGCCUCAAUGUCACAUGUACAUGCAUGUGCAGUCAAUGUAGGGAUGAGGACGGCACAGACAGGCCUGUGGACGUUCACAGGAGCCUGCCUCUCUCUCUGUUUCUCUCCUUGUCAGAGACAGACAGCAGCCUAGAGCAGAAGAGGACAAAGCUGACUGGAUUGUGGAUAAGAGCUGCCCUUGUAUGGAGGCAGGAUGUAGAAGGAAGAGACUGUGCUCGGGAGUUCUACAAGCUGAUUAGUUACUGGAUAAGCUGAAAUUUACUUUGGGAAGCUGAUCAUUGAUGUGGGUCUUGUUUUUACAUCUGCAAUGUGCUCGUGUCUCUUCUGAUUUUCUCAUGGCGGCCGUCACCUCCACUAUGGAAAGAAAAAUGAAUGACCCAUUUCAGUAGACUGUGACACUUCGGCGACCUGCAAAUUCUACACAUUAGAGUUCAUAUUUUACACAAAUGCCGGAGCCCCAAGUCGUGGACUCGCAUCUCUCUCAGCAGCAUCCAACUCCCAGCAGAAGACACAGACCCUGUCAGAGGUUGAAAGCUCCUAAUGAAGAUGCAUUACAGAUGGUAUUUAUGGUCAUCCCCCUAGGAAAACAAAAGUGAUUCAUGAAUAAUUUCGUGGAAGUCACACCAAAAAGGGAGUAAUAAUUUUCUCAAGUCCACAUUGUCCUUUGGUUCUCCGAGGGCCACUUCUAUUCCCACAAGUCACCACAGCUUCACUUCAAAAGGAUGAGGCAGGACAGGGGAGAGGCUGUGUGUUAACCUGGCUUGAGAGCUACCACGUACUGAAAACCACUCAGCACCUGUGAUUGAUGGCGUCCGGUCACAGCAGAGUUUCUCUUCUUCGUGUGUUACUAGAAGGCUGAGAAGCAUGCUCUUCAGCGGCCCGGGGUUCCUCCGGCAGAAGCAUCGUUCUAGAAGACCCCCUGAGCAAAGGGAACAGUUGUGGCCGAGCAAGGCAGGUGGGUGGGUUCUGACCAGUCAUUGGCUUCAAGGUACUGUGUCAAUCACUUCUCUUUUGCAACAGAGCUGGGAAUUGGAGGCUUUAUUCAGGCCGAAGUGGGAGAAAGGGAAUUUUUACUAGAGGGCAUGGCCUUCUGAGGCAAGGGAAGAAAGGAUCUUCUGCCAGCUGGGGCAGGGACGAGAGGUGAGUCAGAACAGCCUGUGGAGAAUGGUAUUCCCCUCUGGGGGGUCACGGGACUACUUGUAAAAUGACGUCUCGACGUUGGGCCGCAUCCAAGGUUCCCAGCCUUGGCUGUACAUCAGAAUCACCUGGGAGCCUUUUACAAUCCCAGUGUCCAGGUCCCACCUCACAGCAAUUACCUCAGAAUCUCGGGGGCAGGGACCCAAGCUGAGGUAGUUGUUACGGUGCCCCAGAUGACUCCAAGGUACAUCCAGGCUUGAAGAUCAUCGAUCUAGGGCUUUGCUGAUCAAAGUCUGGCCUGGGGACCAGCAGCGUUGGUGUCACCUGGGACUUGUUAGACAUGCAGAAAUCUCAGGUCACACCCUAGACCUACUGAGUCAGCAUCUGCAUUUUAGCAAGGUCCCUGGGAGAUCUGAAGUCUAUUAAAGUAUGUGGAGCUGUGGUUCUCAAACUUUGCUGCAUAUUAAAAUCACCUAGGGAGCUUUUAAAAAUCCCAGUGCCCAGGCCGCCCCUUAUACCAAUUAAGUCAGAAUUUCUGAGGGUGGGAUGCAAGCAUCAGUAGUUUUUUUUAUUGGUUCUCAGGUGGUUCUGAUGUUCAUGGGUCCUCAACCCUGGCUACAUAUUAGAAUCACCUGGGGAGCUUUUAAAUAUCCAGAUACUUGAGCCCUAUUUUAAGAAAUUCUGAUUUAAUUGGUCUGGGAGAGGCUGCAAAAAGCUUCCUAGGUGAUUCUAAUAUGCAGCCAACAAGAGCCUCUGUUCCAGAAUGUUCUGCUGGCUUCACUGAAGGGCCAGCCAGGUUGAAAAUCAUACCACAAGUCAAUGGAUCCAAGAACUGUUGAAGGAAAAGAACGACCAGACCAUGUCUAGACUUAUCUGAUCUCAGGACUUUGAUAUUUGAUCUUAUGUGUGACAACUACUAUACUUUUCUUUUUUUUAUGAAUUCAAAUAUUUGUAUGCUCCUUUACUUUUCUAAGAAAACUUGUUUUGAAAAAUUCAACUUCAAUUCAGCCAAAUUAAGGGGCAAAAGCAUUGGUCUACAUCUGGGCCACAGGAACUAGGAGCAGCUGAGGAAUCAGGUGGGAUGGUUGUAAGAGAGGUCAAGAUGGAGAAUUUGGGACAGGUGGGGCCCAGCUGAAGUGUGAAGAAAUACCCUUGGGGACAAGAAAGAGGAGAGCCGAUUGUAAUUUCUUGUCCCUUUUGCCCUAUGGCACCCCCUCUCCGUUUCCAACAUGACUGUGGAGUCAGGUAGCUCUAGAUUAGGGUUGCCAGAUUUAGCAAAUAAAAACAGGGCACCCAGCAAAACUUGAAUUUCAGAUAAACAAUAAAUUAUUUUUGAAUAUGUCUCAUGCAAAAUUUGAAAUAUUAUACUAGAAAUAUUUCAAAAUUUGAAAUAUACGACUAUACUAUAUAUAGUUGGACUGGAGAUGACAGGUAGGUCUGCAUGUGUGUACAUGUGUGUAUGUGCAACAAAUGCUUUGUUGUUUACUGAAAUUCAGUUUUGAUUGGGUAUUGUGUAUUUUAUCUGACAAUCCUACUUGAUUGAUAACCCUGAAUUCUUGAUGUUAGAGAAUCUGCCCUUGGCAAUGGCAGAUUUUCCCUCUACGCCUGAAGGGGUUCUUGCCACCUGAGGUGAGGUCCAUGUGUGUUUGUCUGAACCCUGUCCCCAGGAGGUCCACCCUCCUGGGUUCUGCAGGGCUUGCUCAACACCCCAAGGCUAGCACUGGCAAGAAUGUAUGGGGAUGACCCGGUUCUUGGACUUCACUUUUCUAGGCUGCUUCCCUGCAGUUUUUGGUGUUGAGAUGGUUCCUAGGAGAUCAGGUCCUCACUUGCCCAAGUCAGUCUACAUAUGGCUGAAGAGAAAGGUUGUUGAAAGGCAUUUUGGACUGGAGAUGACAGUGUCGAGCGAAGGUGGACAAAUGCAGGGCAAAGGCAGCAUGUUUCACAAUCCGGCUACAGCUUGUCCUGGAGCUGCCUGCCCACAUCUGAGCCCAGUGUGACUGGCUUUCAGCAGAGGCUGCUCCACGGAAACAUAUUCAGAGUCAAGAGUCCAGUUUUCUGUUCCAUUCAGCUCUGAAACAGCUCAUUCCCUUGUCUUCGGAGCAUGUGGG